ACUGACCAUAGAGACACUUCAGGUAUGGGUAGUGGUGUCACAUGUGUCCGUAGAUGGUAGAGAGGAGAGAGGCUAUGUCUACUCUUCCAUGUCCUGAACUAUGAACAUCUAGAUUAGUAGCCCAACAUU
Small nucleolar RNA from Apodemus sylvaticus (European woodmouse), 129 nucleotides. RefSeq annotates it as small nucleolar RNA SNORA17. The record is from RefSeq and is a predicted model, not a curated record. NCBI's taxonomy places the organism in Eukaryota, Metazoa, Chordata, Mammalia, Rodentia, Muridae. The transcript has a single exon.